GUCCUCUAGUGGUUCAUAAGACAUAAUGACUGGGUUUUCACACUAUUUUGUAAGAGGUGCCUCUCUCUAAAUCUUGUUAUGAUGUCUGCACAUUAUGCAUCUGAUG
Molecule: small nucleolar RNA, 106 nt
Organism: Cynocephalus volans (Philippine flying lemur)
Lineage: Eukaryota; Metazoa; Chordata; Mammalia; Dermoptera; Cynocephalidae
Product: small nucleolar RNA U13
Exons: 1
Source: RefSeq, a predicted model, not a curated record